This 4717-nucleotide long non-coding RNA is filed under the name Cucumis sativus (cucumber). RNAcentral's name for it is "long non-coding RNA (CSAT_LNC001877)". The record is from RNAcentral. Lineage: Eukaryota; Viridiplantae; Streptophyta; Magnoliopsida; Cucurbitales; Cucurbitaceae.
UGUCAUAUAUGUUUUAUUAUUAUUGUUUGAAAGACCAUAAAUGGCCAUGUAUAAGAAAAAUAGAAAAAGAAGAAGGCAAACGUAACAGUGGAGCUUCCAUCUAUAUCUAUUUUACAGAAGGAUGGGAGAAUGGUUUUAUUUAAUUUGCACUAAUCAUGAAUAAGAUGGGCUUCCACAUCCUUAUAAGCUUUGCCAAUUAGUUGAAGGUAAUUGUAUGGAUCGGGUGUGGUAGAAUCAUAUUUUUCAUAUUCUAUAGUUAUGUAAACCACACAUUGUUGAGGAGUACUCUUCGGUACGAGAUGAUGAGUGAUCUUGAAGCUUUUAUAUUUCUUUACCACAUCUCCUUCUAUCACAGUGAAAAUUGCUUUAAGCUUUUCAUCAUCGAAUUUCGAUUGUUCCUUCAAAACCUCAGCCUUGCCAUCUUUUGUUAACAAAAUAAUGUAAUCACAUAUACAAAACAAAUCAAAGAGACUUUCAGAUAAAAUGUUAUAUAUUCACUGAAUAAAGAAAAUUUGAAGUUAACAAAAUUAAAGUGAAUAUAUAACAACAUAUAGAUAGCUAAUGAGAUGGAUGGUGUUGAUACUCACCGAUGGUGUAAUUCCAUACUUUCAUGGAGUCAUGACUACAAUUGUCCCAAUCACCUUCAUCAACUGCUACGUCUUGAAUGAUUGAAGUAACAUUAGGAAAAUGAUAAACAUUGUUUUUGAUGAAAUAAUAGCAUUUGUUGGCACUUAUCUUCAAUUCUACUGGCUGCAUAAUUUUCUGAACGCAAGACAUGAUUUCGUUUAAAGAUAACUCACCCACACCUAAACCCCAAUGUCUUCCUCUUUUAAUACAUGCAACCUAUUGAUCAACUAUUUUGAAUAUGUGUCCUGGAUAAACAUAGACUUUCAUCCAAUAUAUAAUUAAAAUGAGGUGUUAUCUUAUUCUACUUUGGUUUCUAGAUUUUUAAAGAUUUUCGUUUCAGUCCUUUAACUUUUAGAUGAAAAUAAAUUACUUUCAUUCGUGUCAUUCAAAUUUCACUAACUUUUUAACAUAACAAUGAUACGAUUUUUGUAUUUGGAUGACUAUGUCUAAAUUCAUCAUAUUAAUUAAAUUUAUUAAUUAUAAAAAUAUUUAUUUACAAUUUUAUUGAGUUUAUUUCCCACACGAGUUGUUCUUAUAUUUAGUUUUUUUUUUUUUUUUUUUUGUUUUAUUUCACCUCGUCUUGAAUGCUAACAUACCAAUAUAAUCUUCUCAUGAUUUGCUUAAAAAUUUCAGUUUAAAAAAAAAAUGAAAUAAAAAACCGAAACAUGAUAACCCUAUACUGAGUUCUACAAAAAGGGUAAGGUUUCGUAAUCUUUGAUACCACAUUAGAUAACUACAAAGUUAUAUCUUAAAAUCAAAUAACUAACUACACAUAUAUAGACUGUUUUUAGUUUCGUUUAUAUAUUUCAAAAAAAAUUAGUUGCAAAUAUAACAAUUAGGUUCAAAAUUUUAUAAUAUAUAGCAACAAUUUUAAAAAAAUUACAAAUCAGUCAUUUAUAAAUAACAAGAAUCUAUUAUAAAUAGACUUUAGUUUACAAUUUUUUGAAAAUGUUAUUAUACACUUAAUUAUUAUUUCUAGAGUUGCUAUCAAUUCUUUUUUUUUGUUUGUUUAUUUAAAAUUUAACAAUACUUCUUAUUCUUCGUAUAUUUUUAUUUAUUUAUUAUCAAAAAAGAAAAAAAAAACAUAAAAUAUGUUUUUUUAAUGGAAAACGAAAAUGCAUAAAAUAUUAUUAAUUAACUCAAUUAUAACACAUAGACUCUGCACUCCACAAACUUGUUAACUAAAUGAGAGCAACUCAAGUACACACCCAAACACAUACAAUUAUUUCAAACUUAACUGACUCAACUUUAUGUUUUGUAAGUGGCAAUUAAGUGAGAUAGUUUUAUUGAACAUAUAAAUAUAGGCAUGAGCUUGAUUCUGUUCAUCAUGUCAAGAGAGGUUGGAAGGAAAUGAGUUUACGGAAUUGGUCCCAUACUUUCUCCCAGAUAACAGCUUCAUAGUUUCCCUCAUUAUCGUUUUCAUCCUUAGCCGUUAAGAUAAAACGGUAGUUGACUCCGGCCACAAUCUGCGACUCGCACUUGACCACACUACUCAAUGCCAAUUGAUAUCCUCCUUCUUUGUUGUACUCUGCUACCGUCCAUUCUGCUAAUUCUUUUAUGUGUGGAUUAUCAAGAUCCUGAACUGGAGUAUAAUCCGACAUUUCAAUUUCCUUGCUUACUAGAAAUACACACAAACUUAUGAAAUAUGGGUAAUUAGUAAGUGCCUCUCCUAUCCAAACAACAGAGGUUCAUAUUUAUACUACCAUUCCCAACCCACCUCCAAUUAUUACUUCUUUUUCUGUUUUAAUUUUUUUUUUAUCUUUGGAUUGCUCAUUAUACAAUUUUUUAAUUAUUUUAUUUUUAUUUUAUAUAUUCAACCUAAAUAACAGAUGAAACGUGGGUCACGACUCUAUAAGUAUAUAUAUAUAGAAAUCAAAUGCGGAUCAUGGGGUCUAUAAAAAAUUAUAUUUAUUAUUCUAUCUUCACUUUCAAGGUUGGCAAUAAUAGCAUUUUUGACUUUUAAUAAAUAAAAUCAAAUAUUUAUUGAUGUAUACAUGUAGAUACAAUCCCAAUGGUUAUGGUUGAAGUUAGCCAAACAGCACGAUCUAUAUCAUGUAACAAUACUAUAAUUAUUAAAUACUAUUGCCCUCUUUUCAAAAAAUGAAAUGAAAUGAAAUAUAUAUAUUUAACUAACUAAAGAAAUGCAAUGCAGAUCAGGAGGUCUACAAAAAUUUAUAUUUAUAUUUAAGUAACUAAAGAAAUGAAAUGCGGAUCACGGAGUCUACAAAAAAAAAUUAUAUUUAUUAUUAUUAUCUUCAGUUUCAAGGUUGGCAAUAACUUCCUUACCUUCCAAAUUUAAGUUUGUGUAUGAAAUGCUUAAACAUUUCUCAAAUUUAUUUCAAAUUUUGAAUAUUAACUUACACCAUCAGCUGACCCUUUUUCUUUCUUUUUGUUAAUGCCUACUUUUCGUUUAUUUUAAACUAAACACUUUAAAUAUCUAUUUUGUCUUAAAUAUCUAUUUUGUCAUCUCCUAUCAUUUUUAAACCAAUUAGUUAGACUAAUUAAGUAGGCUUGAUGAGAAAUACCAAAUGUGGUAUCAUUUUUAAAUAGGUUUUGCUUGCUAUGAAGUGUAGGCCAAUGUUGGUAUUAUUUCAAAUUUAAAAAUAAAAUAAAAUAAAAAGAAAGAAAGAAAAACUAGUCACUCCAACAAAUAUGGAUGCAUAUUAUCAAUUUAGAGUUAAGGCUUUAUAUUUUAAAUAUGGUUUAAAUAAAUAAAAAUUAUGGACGUGGACUUAUGCUCACAAGCUCAAAAAUGACGAAAAUGGUCAAAGUUGUAAAAUGUGAAAAUGUUGACUUUUGACUUUUGAAAAGUCAAAGUUGUAAAUGUGAUUUAUGAAUUUUGGGUAAAAUUAUGUAGAUUCAUGUGGACACGUUGGAAUGUGAUGACACUAGGCUCACUAAGAGUUAAUGCAAAUCAUGGGUGCUUAAGGGUAGGAUAUCCAAAGAGUAUGAAUUGGGUGUAGAAAACUUCAUCAAUUUUAAAUUUUUUAAUACAAAUGAUUCGUUUUUUGUUAUCCUUGUUUGAAAUGUGCAAGUUGUCAAAAACAAAGUCGCACUAAUAUUAGAGAUCAAAUAUGUCACUGAAAUUGAUGAAAGUUACAAAAUUUGGUUUUUGCAUGGUGAAAUAACUACUAACUCAUCCUUAUCUAUGGAAAAUCUUCUAAGUUUGACAUUUACAUGUACGAAGAAGAGAAUGAUGUUAGAAGUCUAAACGAAAUGUUAGAAAGUUGUUCAUGAAAGUUAAUCUGAACGUGUCUAAACAUUAUUACGUUGCCGUUAGUGUUGAUGUAACAACAUGAGAAGUAUGAAUGUAGAUAGCUUUUGUCAAUGUUUGUCUCACUGUCUAUAUAUUCUUAUUAUUUUAAAGUUAUUCAUCUAUAUCAUAAAUAAAUAUCAAUUUCCUUUGACAUAAUAUUGUGAGGAAUAGAUUCUUCAUUUUGCUUUCAUCCCUCAAAACCACCCCAUUCAAAUUAUUUUCUCUAGAUUCCACAGAAUAAUAAAUUACAAAUUCUAAACAAAAAAUUAUAACGUAUAUAUUAUUUCCAAAAUUGUGGUUGUUAACGUCUAAAAUUGAAAAAAAAAAUUAAACCAAAGGUAUUAAUAUUGUCAUAUAUGUUUUAUUAUUAUUGUUUGAAAGACCAUAAAUGGCCAUGUACAAGAAAAAUAGAAAAAGAAGAAGGCAAACGUAACAGUGGAGCUUCCAUCUAUAUCUAUUUUAGAGAAGGAUGGGAGAAUGGUUUUAUUUAAUUUGCACUAAUCAUGAAUAAGAUGGGCUUCCACAUCCUUAAAAGCUUUGCCAAUUAAUUGAAGGUAAUUGUAUGGAUCGGGUGUGGUAGAAUCAUAUUUUUCAUAUUCUAUAGUUAUGUAAACCACACAUUGUUGAGGACUCUUCGGUACCGGAUGAUGAGUGAUCUUGAAGCUUUUAUAUUUCUUUACCACAUCUCCUUCUAUCACAGUGAAAAUUGCUUUAAGCUUUUCAUCAUCGAAUUUCGGUUGUUCCUUCAAAACCUCAGCCUUGCCAUCUUUUCUUAACAAAAUAAUGUAAUCACAUAUACAAAACAAAUCAAAGAGACUUUCAGAUAAAAUGUUA